Phyllostomus discolor (pale spear-nosed bat) is the source of this 4774-nucleotide RNA transcript. It is a transcript of the gene named Ras and Rab interactor like, with no coding region annotated. NCBI's taxonomy places the organism in Eukaryota, Metazoa, Chordata, Mammalia, Chiroptera, Phyllostomidae. The transcript has 10 exons. The record is from RefSeq and is a predicted model, not a curated record.
CCCAACCCCCGCCGCCGCCUGCCCCUCCCUAGACAGGGUGCCUGCUUUGGUCCUCUCUUCCUAACACUCUGGGUGUCUGGUCAAUGGACUGGUUGAUUUGCUUAGCUGUUUAUUAUCCCUAUUUUCUGUCUGCCCCAAGAAGAAUGGAUACCCCUGAGAGCAGGGCCCAUUCUGCAUCCAGAGCACCUAAUUCUGGGCCUGUACUCAAUAAAUAUCUGUGGGAUGCAUGGACGCAUGGACCUAAGCCCCCUACUCCUGGGAGGGCUACAGGGGAAACAUUCAAAAAUGCCCACCUCAAACAGUGACCCACUCUAGGACUCUGUACCUGGUUAAGAGCUGAGGUCUGACGGACAGAUGGCUAGAGAGAGAUGGCUGUGUGAAAAAGCAGAGAAAAAUAACGGUAGAAUGUAUGUAGCGAGUAUGUGGAUGUUCACUGUAAAAUUCUUCCCAUUUUUCUGAAUGUUUGAAAUUUUCAUUAAAAAAAUGUUGAGGGGAAAUAUUUGAGGGCCCCUUCGUGGUCUGGGAAGGGAGGAGGAGAGAGGAUGUGGGGUAACAUUUGUCUCAUUUAUGGAACCUACUGUGGGCAGAGCCCUUUUGCAGGCACUGGGUUAUGGGUAGGCUUGUUACUCAGCGCGCCCGCAUCCACACGGCUGCUCUGGAUGUUAAAACCUAAAAUACUGUCCUACCACUUGGUAAAUACUUGUCAUUUUGAGUCCUCUCCUCUCCCUUCAUCCCAAGACACACUGACCUCCCUCCUGGGAUCCCCAGAGCACCCCACCAUCCAGUGAUGAAAGAAUUCACUCCUGGCACAGCAAGGGGCCUUGGGUCCAUUCUGAUUGGUCGGGGUCUUUGCCACAUUGGUUGUAAAUGUUUUGAACUUUACUCCUGAACUGGAGCAGCCUUGAGCCUGAUCUUCCCCCUGCCAGAGGCCAGGCCAUGGCUUGCUGGCCUCCCGAAUCCUGAGGAUGGCCCAGCCAGAGGACCAGGCCUCGGCAGGCCCCACCUAUGGGGAGAGACUGGAGGAUGGAGCAGGCGAGGCCUGCUUAGGGGUCCUCAGGGCCCCAGAGCCACUUCUUCGGCUGCAGAGGACGAGGGGUGUGUGGCAGAUCCCAGAGCUGGAUGCCCAGGGUGCAGAAGCCCUUCUGGAGCUGUGGCCACCGGGGAGUUUCCUGGUCACAGGACAUGACCCCAGCCAGGUCCUGGUGCUGAGGACAGGACCUUCACCAGGGGAAGUCAACACUUACCAGAUCCAGAAACUUCCUGGAGGUGUGUGUCUGGAAUCCUCUAACCUCUGCAUGCCAGACCUGCCCCAUCUCCUGGCCUUCCUAUCAGCCAGCAGGGAUGUUUUGCCCAGAACUCUGCUCUUGCCCCCUCCUGCUCUAGGGCCUGGGGAACAACACGCAGGGAGGGUGCUCUCCGUGGUGAGCAAGAUCUACCUGGAGACCCACAGAGGCCUGGGGAUGGAGCACACUUCCCCAGAGACACCUCCAGAGACUGCCAAGAAAAAUGAUCCAGCCCCCAGGAACCCUGCCCCUCAUCGGGUCUCUUGGGUAGAAGGCCCACUCAGCUCAGAAGUACACCAUUCUGGGCCAGCUCUGGCCAGCCUGGGGGAGGAGGAGGAGGAGGAGGAGGAGGAGGAGGAGACGACUGGCGACUACAAAGAUGAAGAGGAAGAACCUGAGGAUGUGCUUACUAGUCAUGUCCAGGCUCUGGCCAGGUCCAGAAGCAGCUACGUGGCCAGACAGUUCCGAGGCCUCAAGGCACGCCUCACCUCAGACGCUGGGGGCCCCCACAGGCCCGGGGACCCCGCCACCGAGCUGCUUCAGGAUGUGCGGCACCUCCUUACUGACCUCCAGGAUCACUUAGCAAAGGACCCCAGUAUCAGGGCUUUCUUGCGGAGCAGGGGUCCUGGGGUCCCCCAGAAGGACGAGGAUCUUGGCCCCGCAGUGGAGGCGGCCUUGUGCCGCGUGGUACUGGCGCCUCUGAAGCCGGCCCUGUGGGCACGACUCCGAACGCUCCGCGCCCCAGAGCUGCGGCGACUGCGGCGGCGACAGAUAGCUCUGCGGGCAGGGGCUGGGCCUCCCGGACCUCAGGGGGCGGGGCCUGAGGGACAAGGCCCCGCCCUGCGCAGCCGCAUCCACUCGCGCCUUGCGCACCUCCACGCCGCUUGCGCCCCACGCCGCAAGGUGGCGUUGCUGCUGGCGGUGUGCAGUGAUGUCUACGCGGGGCUGGCUUCGGGCAAGAACGAAGGUAAAGGAGGAGUCUGCAUCUACCUGGAUGUGGAGCGGCCUUGAGGGUUGCGGGAGCCAGAGCCCCUGGGCGCCGACGCCUUCCUCCCAGCGUUGACCGAGGAGCUUAUCUGGAGUCCGAACAUUGGGGAGACACAGCUGGACGUGGAGUUUCUUAUGGAGCUCUUGGAUCCGGAAGAGCUACUGGGAGAAGCUGGGUACUACCUGACCACGUGGUUUGGGGCACUGCACCACAUUGCCAACUACCAGCCCGACGCCGGACGUGCGCCAAAGGGGCUCAGCUCUGAGGCCCGUGCCUCCUUGCGCCAGUGGCACCGCAGGCGGACGCUGCACAGACAGGGCCUCACCAGAUCCCAGGUGACCAGCCAGUUGGACUGUGGGUAGAGAGGUGGGCUGGCCCUGUUGCCUUUCUGACACGAGGCUGCUGCCUGCCCCCUCAGGCUAACCUGCCUUUGGAGGAUCCCUGGGGAAUAGAGACUGUGUCAAGAGACCAAUGAUGAAUAGGGGUCUCAAACCUCUCUGUUCUUCAAGCAAGGUGCAGAGGCACCUGUUACUUAGCCGCAGCAAGGAGGAGGAGGUCCCAGGAAAAGGGAAUGGCCCACCUCUGGGCCUUUGCAUUGGCUGUUCCUGCUUCUUGGAAUGCCCUUCCCUAAUAUCCACACUGCUCACUCCCUCCCUUCUUUCAGAUUUUUAGACACGUUUCAUAGUCUCAGUGAGGCUCUCUCAGACACAACUGUGUAAGACUGUAAUUCCUCUCCUUUGACCUUCCCUGUGGAAGGCAGAAUAAUGCAUCCCACCCCCCAUGUCCACUUCCUAAUCCCCAGAUUCUGUGACUAUGUUACUUCAUGUGGUAAAGGAGACUUCACAGAUGCAAUUAAAUUAAGGAUCUUAAAAUGGGGAGGUUAUCCUGGAUUCCAGUGGACCCAGUGUAAUCACAGGGGCCUUGUAAGAGGGAGGCAGGAGGGUCAGAGUCAGAAGAAGAGCUACAACGAUGCGAGCAGGGACUGGAAUGAGGGCUGGGAGCCAAAGCAGGCGGGCACCCUCCAGGAGCUGAAAAAGACAAAGAAUGUGUUUUCCCCUGGAAUCUCCAGCAGAAACUCAGCCUUUAAUUUUAGAUCCCUAAGGUAUAUUUUGGACUUCUGACUUUCAGAACUGCAAGAUAAUAAAUUGGGGGGGGGGGUGCGGUUUAAGCCAUGAAGUUUGUGGUAAUUUGUUACAGCAGCACCAGGAAACUAAUACACUCCCUUACCCUAAUCUUUCUUUUCAUAGAAGUUAUCACCUCCUAAUAUACCAUAUAAUAUGCUUAUUUAUUAUGUUAAUUGUCCAUAGUCUCCCCCCCUUAGAAUAGCUCCAUCCAAUAGGAAUACAAUGCAAGCUACACAUGUUAAUUCUAAAUAUUCUAGUAGCUAGAUUUAAAAAAAAAUGAAAAAGGAACAAGUGAAGUUAACUUUAAUAACAUUUGAUUUAACCCAAUAUAUCCCAAAUAUUAUUACUUAAUAUGUAAUCAAUACUUUUAAAUUAUUGAGAUAUUUACCAUUCUUCAUGUGUAUGUGCUCAAUCUCCAAGAUCCACUGUGCAAAUCAUACUUCAGCACACCUCAGUUCAGACCAGCCACAUUUCAAAUGCUCAGUGAAUGUAUUAGGGCUCGUGGCUACUAUUUUGGACAGUGCAGCCUUAGAAUGUCAGCUCAAAGAGGCUAGGCAUCUCUGUUUGGUUCAUAGCUGAAUCCUCAGUGCCUAACAAAUGCCUAGCACACAGUAGGUAUUCAAUAAAUACUUGCUGAAUGAUCCAACAAACAAAGUUUCUGGGGUAAACUGAAACGGGCUUCCCAAAAGGUAUCUGUGUCCUAAUCUCUAGAAUCCAUGAUUGUUACCUUAUUUGGAAAAGGGCCUCUGCAGAUGUUGUUAAAUUAAGGAUCUUAAAAUGGGGAUUAUCCAGGGGGGCUCUUGGGCAGUCAUGUGUAUCCUCAUAAAAAGGAGGCAGAUAGAUUUGACCCAAGUAGGAAAAAGCAACGUGAAGACAGAGCAUAGAAUCGAAGACAAUGGCCCUGAGGUGACGUAGCCUGAAGCCACCAGGAAUGCUGACAGCCACCAGGAACUGGACAAGGCCAGCGCAGUUCUCCCUCAGAGCCUCUGAGCCGCCAGAAGGGGGCCCCACUUACCCCUGGAUUUAGCCUGGUGAACUGUUUUCAGGCUUGCAGUCUUCAAACUGUAGUAGAAUAAAUAUCUAUUGUUUUCAGGCAACAAGUUUUUAGUCAUUUGUUACCGCAGGCAAUAACAAUGCAACAGUUUCUCAGCUCUUAACAUAAAAAAUGAGUAGAAUUAAUAUCCAAUUCAGUCUCACUGUAACAAGGGACAUUCAUCUACAUAGACAGUAAUUAAAUAAAAAAACAGGAAUGUCACCAGACAAGGACUGGGCCUGGAGUAGGUCUGCUUCAGGCCAGUCAGUGUGUGUGGGUUCUUGACUUCUUGCAGGAAAGAGCUCCGAACACGAGUCCAGGCGAUUUUGAGUAUGUUUGAGUAUGU